This is a long non-coding RNA of Nilaparvata lugens (brown planthopper), 264 nucleotides long. RefSeq lists it as uncharacterized. The transcript has 2 exons. The record is from RefSeq and is a predicted model, not a curated record. Lineage: Eukaryota; Metazoa; Arthropoda; Insecta; Hemiptera; Delphacidae.
UCAUAUGAAAGAAAAUAAGUUGAUAAUAUAAUUAUUUGAUAAUUUUCCAGGUAAUUUGAAAAAUUCAUUCAACAGAUAAAAUUGUUUAUUGCUUGGUAAUCUUUAAAAAUAUUUAUAUAUUUACAUCACUGAUUAGACAGCUGAGCACGUACCAGACAGUGACUGGCCCGAUCACCUGGAGAAAGCAGACGACAAUAUCAGAUGUGCCCAGUACCUACUUGAGUGAGGAUGUCAAAGUUCUAUAUGCACGUAAAGAAACGUUUA